RNAcentral lists this ribosomal RNA (484 nucleotides) under uncultured bacterium. Its description in RNAcentral is "partial 16S ribosomal RNA". It matches the Rfam family "Bacterial small subunit ribosomal RNA", at positions 30 to 507 of the family's 1533-position model. The record is from RNAcentral.
AUUGAACGCUGGCGGCAGGCCUAACACAUGCAAGUCGAGCGGAUGAAGGGAGCUUGCUCCUGGAUUCAGCGGCGGACGGGUGAGUAAUGCCUAGGAAUCUGCCUGGUAGUGGGGGAUAACGUCCGGAAACGGGCGCUAAUACCGCAUACGUCCUGAGGGAGAAAGUGGGGGAUCUUCGGACCUCACGCUAUCAGAUGAGCCUAGGUCGGAUUAGCUAGUUGGUGGGGUAAAGGCCUACCAAGGCGACGAUCCGUAACUGGUCUGAGAGGAUGAUCAGUCACCUUGGAACUGAGACCCGGUCCCGACUCCUACGGGAGGCAGCAGUGGGGAAUAUUGGACAAUGGGCGAAAGCCUGAUCCAGCCAUGCCGCGUGUGUGAAGAAGGUCUUCGGAUUGUAAAGCACUUUCAGUUGGGAGGAAGGGAAGUAAGUUAAUACCUUGCUGUUUUGACGUUACCAACAGAAUAAGCACCGGCUAACUCCGUG